Molecule: unclassified non-coding RNA, 554 nt
Filed under: Hevea brasiliensis (rubber tree)
Lineage: Eukaryota; Viridiplantae; Streptophyta; Magnoliopsida; Malpighiales; Euphorbiaceae
Source: RNAcentral
AAUGAUUUUCUUCGUUAUAUGUGGGUUUAAUUAGCAAUUUUUGUUCCUGGGUUUGAUUAUUAUAGCAUUAUUCCUCAAUUUCUUGUCAAACGACCUUUGUUACAAGUAUAUGGGUUUACAGAAGCUAGACAAUGUAUUAUACAUAUCUCUUUUUCGGUUUUGGUGCUUUCCCUUGUGGCAUUUGUUCAUAUAAAUGCCCCAUUUCUUAGUUCAUAGCCUGUCUUUGAUUCUUUAUAUUCUAAUCAACAUUUCAUUUUUGGGACAUAAUUAUUUAAUAUCUAAAUUGGCACAAUCAUUUGAUGCAGCAGAAGUAAUUAACUUGAUAGUCCAAUGCUGGAAUACCUAUCCUAUAUAUCAUUCAUUUCCCCUUAAAAUUUUCUGAAAUACCAACGAAAAAAGGUGUAGGAAUGCCGCCUUCUUAAUCUGCUAUUGUUGUCCAUGGAUGGUUGUUCCUGGCUCAUUCUUUUAUUUACAUCCCCAAGAUCUCAUCUCUGUUUCUGUUGAAUUGCUUGUUUACAUAAUUGUAAUUUUUCACCUGAAGCUGGUAAUUUCAU